Molecule: ribosomal RNA, 253 nt
Filed under: uncultured bacterium
Lineage: Bacteria
Description: partial 16S ribosomal RNA
Rfam family: Bacterial small subunit ribosomal RNA
Source: RNAcentral
UACGUAGGGGGCAAGCGUUGUCCGGAAUUAUUGGGCGUAAAGAGCUCGUAGGCGGUUUGUCGCGUCUGCUGUGAAAACGCGAGGCUCAACCUCGCGCCUGCAGUGGGUACGGGCAGACUAGAGUGCGGUAGGGGAGACUGGAAUUCCUGGUGUAGCGGUGAAAUGCGCAGAUAUCAGGAGGAACACCGGUGGCGAAGGCGGGUCUCUGGGCCGUAACUGACGCUGAGGAGCGAAAGCAUGGGGAGCGAACAGG